CCCCCCCCACACACACACCAUGUAUAUAUCUGUUCCUCUUUCUUUGCCUGCUAUUCUCAAGGAUGUUUUGGGUCCUGCUAGUUUGCUGCAAGGAGUUGAAAUAGAGGCUUGGAAAUUCAAAGAUUUCAUGUCACUGAGGUGUUCAGUAACAGCCAACUUAACCGUAGCUGGGUUACAUCUAGUACAUUUUCUGGUUCAGUUCUUGUAUACGGUCCUGUAGGAAUUCAGCAUCUUGUCAAAGGCUUUGUUUAUACUCUAGUACAUUUUCUGGUUCAGUUCUUGUAUAUGGUCCUGUAGGAAUUCAGCAUCUUGUCAAAGGCUUUGUUUAUACCAUAGAUUUAGAGACAGGUCUUGCAGUGCUUCCCAGGCCCGAGGGCAGUGGUAAUUCACAGGCUCAAUCAUUGCAUACUACGGCCAUUCUGAGUAGCCUUUCGCUGCACUCAUCUUAUUUAUACCAUAGGUUUUGGUGAAGCAUUGCAGCUUUUUACUUGAAUUCAUAUUAAAGAACAAUAAAGAAGUAACUAUAUCAUAUCAGGAUUUGGGAGUGUGGAAUUUCCCUGUAACUAUGGGUAAGCAUCCAUCCACCCAGAUAACAGCAUGCUCAAAUACUAGGAAAAGAUACGACAUUCCACUGAGAACCUCGGUCUAGAGGGGGUGUCAGGUAUGUAGACAUAAAACAGUACAGUGGGUGUUUGUAGUACUGACAUUUAAAGUUCAUUGAUCUACAGCCUGGGCAACAUGGCUAAACCCCAUUGACAAAAAAAUACAAAAAUUAACUGGGUGUGACGCACUACCAUCUGGACUACAGUCGCAGCUACUCAGGAGGCUGAAGUGAGAGGAUUGCUUGAAUAUGGGAGGCUGAGGUUGCAGUGACCCAAUACCAUGCCACUGCACUUCAUCCUGGGUAGCAGCAAGACCAGUCUUAAAAUUCAUUGAUUCUACCACUUGCCUUUAUCCCUUGUCACCUCUUUACGUACUUCAUUACCCAGCUUAGAUUCUGUGAUUCAUUGUGACACUCAGCUUUUCAGCCUUGCCCCAUCUCUUGCUUCAUUGUACUUCCCUGGCUAAACUCCAGUUUUGGUUAAGUUUAAUACUCUACUUUCUGUGCACUUAAGUACUUAAUGCAAGUGGACAUGCUGAUUCAGUCUAUUUAAAGUCAUGGCCUCCCCGGGCGCGGUGGUGCGUGCCUGUAGUCCCACUUAGGCUGAGGCAGGAGAAUCACCUGAGUCCAGGAGUUUGAGGCUAUAUUAUGAAAUGAUUGUAUCUGUGAAUAGCCACUGCACUCCAUUCUAGGUACCAUAGCGAGACCCUGACUUGAAAAGUAAAGCCAUGACCUCACAAUCCUAGUACAUUUCUCUAUCCCAUUUACACUUUCUCUUAAAUUUUUAGCACCUUUGCCAUCCUCUCAGCUUAUGACUGUUUUUAAACUUAGAAAUAAAAAUUUCACAGGCUCCUACCAUCACAUGUAUUCACCCACCUGCAUCUGUGCUACUGUCUCUCUUGUAGUUACUAUAGACAGACUGUCCUUGCCUUAUUUAAGGCAAGCUCUUCCACUUGUAUACUAGAUUCCAUCCCUUACCUGUUCAGUGGGCCCAGAUGUGUAGUCAUUUUCCUUCUCUGUCCUGCUCAUUAACUUUCCCCCUAGUAGAUCAUCCCCAUGA
Cebus imitator (Panamanian white-faced capuchin) is the source of this 1661-nucleotide long non-coding RNA. RefSeq lists it as uncharacterized. The record is from RefSeq and is a predicted model, not a curated record. NCBI's taxonomy places the organism in Eukaryota, Metazoa, Chordata, Mammalia, Primates, Cebidae. The transcript has 2 exons.